UGUUUCCUGGAAUGUUCGCCAGUUCACUCUUGUCCCUGGCCGAUGCUAUUAAACUAGGAAGUUGAAACCAUGGCUACUGUGCAAGCUCGGCUCGUAUCGAGAAGCCUACGGCCAUAGUGAUGCUUCCGCCCUGAACUUUCGGUUCACGGGCGAACGAUGAACAGCGGCAUUUCGGGAGACGC
This is a non-coding RNA of Alteromonas naphthalenivorans, 182 nucleotides long. Lineage: Bacteria; Pseudomonadati; Pseudomonadota; Gammaproteobacteria; Alteromonadales; Alteromonadaceae. The record is from Rfam.